UUAGCCAGAGUCAGGAUAGGUUAAGAAAUGCUGCCUUAGUGGUACAUCGUCGCCCUCCAUUUAUUCCAGGAUGCGAGGGUGUAGUAGUGAGCUGCGAGGGAAAAAACGAUUCAUGGAAGGAUGUCGUGAAUCCUCAUAAGUAAUUGUUUAGGUUAGGUUAAGUUUAAGAAUGAGAUACUUAAUGGUAAACGACUCAUAAAGGAAAGGCUGUUAAGACUAGGAUAGAUGAAGUUAAGAGAGAUUAGGCUUGAGGUAUUGAUGUGCGAGGGAGAAGAUGACUCAUGGAGAAUGUCGUCAUGAAUAGUCGUCAGUGAUGUAUGUGAAGGAAAGCACGAGAAACGUCCACUCAGUACCGAACCAUCAAAACAUCCGACUCUGGGUUCAUUUUGAGACAACAAAGCUCCGACCCGUGUUUCGAGACAUGGUGACGAGAAACCUGGCUAUCGUAUGCGUACUAGCUUCCUCCUCCUCCUCCUCGUAAAGCACACUCGACAGGUGUUUCCAGUACUCGUUACCUGAGUGGCCGGGAAAGGUGCCUCCAGUAAAGCAAGGCAGGGAAACCGCCUGGCACUCCGCGGCCCAGUGUGAGGAAUGCUGUCACCGUGUUCCGUGCGUGUCGUGAAGGCGAGCACGAGGAAAGGAGUGGCGGAGACAAGGAACCCUCUCCUCUUUAUUCUUAUUCCAACAGCGAGACAAGGCGUGACAUCUCUUGGUUCUCCACUCUUAAAAGAUGCCCCGUGUGUGCUGAGUUUUUGUGUUUGGCCAUCUUCAGGAAUACAAAGUGGUCCACAAACAUGUACAAUGCAAUGAACCUCUUCACAACUGGAAUCCAGACAUCUGGAAUUCAGGGCAAGACUGGCUGGCCAUUUGCUGCAAUACUUGGCAACUCAUCACCACAUUCUAGGAAGCACCGUAUACACAUACAGGCAGCAAUCAUCUCGAUGGUUACCGGCAGAGAGCACGGUUCAUUUCGUUGGAAGGUGCAGUAACGGUGAAGAAACGUCAAAGAUCUGAAGCAACACAAUAAAGGCAGCAAAUCUGCAGCAUCACCUGUAAGACCAAUAUAGCAGCCUUCCUUGAGGUAUGCAGCAGCCUGGGAAGCAUCUCCAGUGAAACAGUGGAUCACAACAGGAGGAAGGCGAUCCUUGUACUUCCUAAGCACCUCCAGUACCUCAGUGUGGGCAUCUCGUUCGUGUAUAAAGAGGGGCUUCUUCAGGCUGCAGGCUAGAGAGACCUGAAAAUAUUCAAGACUAAAAACUCCACUCAACUUUUAACAAAUUCAUAAUACUUACCAUUCCCACAAUUUUGUCUGAUGUCAUGAAGACUGCUCUUUACCUCCUCCAUAAUAUGAUGUUAUAUUUUUAUAAAAUAAAAUAUUGCCUACAUUUUUUUGUUACUGUGAAAUGGUAGGUGUAAAACACACAAAACAAUGAUCCUAGGUCCUGGUUGUGAAAGUUUUUGAGAGCACUUAAAUAUA
Molecule: long non-coding RNA, 1477 nt
Organism: Scylla paramamosain (green mud crab)
Lineage: Eukaryota; Metazoa; Arthropoda; Malacostraca; Decapoda; Portunidae
Exons: 7
Source: RefSeq, a predicted model, not a curated record